RNAcentral lists this non-coding RNA (30 nucleotides) under Mus musculus (house mouse). Lineage: Eukaryota; Metazoa; Chordata; Mammalia; Rodentia; Muridae. The record is from RNAcentral.
UGAUCUAUUUUAGGAGUCUUAAAAGGAAAG